This is a non-coding RNA of Xyrichtys novacula (pearly razorfish), 575 nucleotides long. NCBI's taxonomy places the organism in Eukaryota, Metazoa, Chordata, Actinopteri, Labriformes, Labridae. The record is from the annotation of a GenBank genome assembly.
GAGCGAGUGAGCAGGCAGUCCGUGAUUUCCGACUGGAGGGGGAGAGGCAGGUGGUGAUGGCGUGAGGCGGCGUCCUGGACGGAGCUGGGAUGAAAGCAGGAGAGCUGGGUACGCAGGCGGGAAGAGCAGGCGGAGUGGGCAAGGGAUUUUCAGGUUACGGUCCAGCGUCGGGUUGUGGGAAGUGUCCGGUUUUUAUGGCAGCGGGUGAAUGAAUGAGAGCGCUCCUCUCCCCGCCACACGGAUCGAUCCGCUGAUUAGAAAUUGGCUGCACCUGUCCGCCCUGAAGCUGCAUCACACCAACACCUGCUUAGAGAGAGGGAGAGGAGGAGAAGAGGGAGGGGGGAGAAGAGAAAAGAGGGAGAAGAGAAAAGAGAGGCUGCCCCUAUCUGGCCCUAGAAGUAGAGGGCGUGACACAUCUAAAGCUUUUUCAGGCUGUUUGUGUCUUUUUAUAGUAUUUUUUUGCAGAAAGCAUCACAUGGAGGAUCUGCAGCCUCUCAGUUUCUGAGCACUUCAUCCAUGCAGUGAUCACGGUGGGCAGGGCAACAACUUUGGCUGCUCUGAUUGGCUGCCAGAAA